RNAcentral lists this ribosomal RNA (292 nucleotides) under uncultured Verrucomicrobiota bacterium. Its description in RNAcentral is "uncultured Verrucomicrobia bacterium partial 16S ribosomal RNA". The record is from RNAcentral. Lineage: Bacteria; Pseudomonadati; Verrucomicrobiota.
GGACUACUGGGGUAUCUAAUCCCGUUUGCUCCCCUGGCUUUCGUGCCUCAGCGUCAGGAAAUGUCCAGAGACUCGCCUUCGCCACUGGUGUUCCACUUGAUAUCUACGCAUUUCACUGCUACACCAAGUAUUCCAGUCUCCCCUCCAUUCCUCGAGCCAGCCAGUAUCCAACGCAGUUUCCGGGUUGAGCCCGGAGAUUUCACGUCAGACUUGGCCGACCGCCUACGCACCCUUUACGCCCAGUAAAUCCGAACAACGCUUGGGACCUCUGUAUUACCGCGGCUGCUGGCAC